CAGAACGAACGCUGGCGGCGCGUCUUAAGCAUGCAAGUCGAGCGUGAUGAAUAGCUGCAUUCAUGAAAGCGGCGGACUGGUGAGUAACACGUAGAUGACGUACCCUCUAGCCGGGGAUAGCCUGUAGAAAUACAGGAUAAUACCGGAUGUGGUCCCGUAGUUUAGAAGUACGGGAAGAAAGGAACUGUAGUUUCACUAGAGGAGCGGUCUGCGGCCCAUCAGCUGGUUGGCGGGGUAAAGGCCCACCAAGGCGAUGACGGGUAUCCGGCCUUAGAGGGUGAUCGGACACAUUGGGACUGAGAUACGGCCCAGACUCCUACGGGAGGCAGCAGCUAAGAAUAUUCCGCAAUGGACGAAAGUCUGACGGAGCGACGCCGCGUGGAUGAUGAAGGCCGGAAGGUUGUAAAAUCCUUUUAUACCAGAGGAAUAAGCGGAGUGAGAGAAACGCCCUGUGGUGACUGUAGGGUAUGAAUAAGCACCGGCUAAUUACGUGCCAGCAGCUGC
RNAcentral lists this ribosomal RNA (504 nucleotides) under uncultured bacterium. Its description in RNAcentral is "bacterial SSU rRNA". It matches the Rfam family "Bacterial small subunit ribosomal RNA", at positions 25 to 518 of the family's 1533-position model. The record is from RNAcentral.